RNAcentral lists this ribosomal RNA (429 nucleotides) under Bacteroidota bacterium. Its description in RNAcentral is "Bacteroidetes bacterium partial 16S ribosomal RNA". It matches the Rfam family "Bacterial small subunit ribosomal RNA", at positions 355 to 776 of the family's 1533-position model. Lineage: Bacteria; Pseudomonadati; Bacteroidota. The record is from RNAcentral.
UAGGGAAUCUUCGGCAAUGGGGGGAACCCUGACCGAGCAACGCCGCGUGAGUGAAGAAGGUUUUCGGAUCGUAAAGCUCUGUUGUUAAGGAAGAACGAGUGUGAGAAUGGAAAGUUCAUGCUGUGACGGUACUUAACCAGAAAGGGACGGCUAACUACGUGCCAGCAGCCGCGGUAAUACGUAGGUUCCGAGCGUUGUCCGGAUUUAUUGGGCGUAAAGCGAGCGCAGGCGGUUAGAAAAGUCUGAAGUGAAAGGCAGUGGCUCAACCAUUGUAGGCUUUGGAAACGGUUUAACUUGAGUGCAGAAGGGGAGAGUGGAAUUCCAUGUGUAGCGGUGAAGUGCGUAGUUAUAUGGAGGAACACCGGUGGCGAAGGCGGCUCUCUGGUCUGUAACUGACGCUGAGGCUCGAAAGCGUGGGAAGCAAAAAGG